Molecule: long non-coding RNA, 931 nt
Organism: Populus nigra (black poplar)
Lineage: Eukaryota; Viridiplantae; Streptophyta; Magnoliopsida; Malpighiales; Salicaceae
Exons: 3
Source: RefSeq, a predicted model, not a curated record
AUUUGAGAGAGCAAACCGUGAGAGAAGGGAGAAAGAAGAAGAAGAGAAAAGAGGGAAAUUAGAAGGGAAAUAGAAAGGAAUUGAAGGGAAUAAGUUUAAAGAUAAUCCUGAUAUUCUACCGGCGGGACGUCAGUAGGAUUUUCUUCGAUAUCAGCUUUGAGUUUUGUUGCUUUUGAGUCAGGAUAAGCUUGUGUGUAAGUUUGGGUUCGCAUAGGUAUGGAACCUUAGAGGGGAACCUUGCCCAUGUGCCGGUCAUGGAUCCGGGAUUCGGGUCGUGAUAAUAGGACUCACCGACCUAUUGAUCCAGAUCGUCAAAUCCAACAUAACUUGCUUCUUAACAGAUGUAUGGAUCUGCGUCAGGAUGAUGGCAUCAAGAUUUCAACAUUGUAUCUCAAUUGGUCCUUCGAGGGAAGCUAUUCUUACGAAGAAUUCUACGUUGGCAAAUUGUUGUCUCAAGCUGCGGGUUCUGAAGUUGAACUUCUUAAGAUAGAAGUUAUUACCAGGUCUGAUACUGCUUUUGAACUACCAGUUUCGGUCAAGAAAUGCGAACACUUGACGAUUCUUAUGCUUAUCUUGACGAACCAAGGCAUUGUGAGAUUUCCCUCGUUAUCGUCUUCUUAUUUCUACAUUCUCAAACAAUUAAAGUUAGAAAAUGUACAUCCAGAGUAUGAGUUUAUUAGAGAUUUGGGCUCAAGCUUCUGCAAGUGAUUGAAGGUUUUGCAACUUUUUAAAUUGAACUGAGCUAAAACAAGUUACCAUCUGCCAACCUCGCCAACACAAUAUCGGUGUUGGACCCAUUAAGUCCCAACGCAUCAUGGGUGCAGGACCAGGAAGUUUACAGUUUCAAGUUUUUUUCUAAACAUGGACGUUGGAUACAUUUCUAAGUAUGAGUUUUGUACCCUUAAAAAACUGAAACUUCUUUUUAACUUUU